Non-coding RNA from Pelobates cultripes (western spadefoot toad), 1141 nucleotides. Lineage: Eukaryota; Metazoa; Chordata; Amphibia; Anura; Pelobatidae. The record is from the annotation of a GenBank genome assembly.
UUAAACAUACAAUGAAGGGAAAAAAGAGAUAAAAAACAUAUAGUGUAGAUGGUUUUGGUGAAAAUGAGUGAUGAAAGUAAAAAGCUGAAACCACUCACAUGGUCUGGAGCCUAUAUAAUAUUGGCUCCGUAUGUAAGCCUAUGUGCUCUUUGUAAUAAUUGUAUUUUACACUACAAAAAAAAGUAUUGUCCAAUAUUAGUCUGAUAGUCUAAAAUAAAAUUUGUGUGGAUAUCGUUAAAAGCCUUAGACUUAUUUAAAAAGAACUGUACCGCUUCAAAUCCUUUGUUAUGUUCAAUGAUGGUGCAUGGAGAAUACUGACACAAACAAAUUUACACACAGAGAACAGUGACACAUGCACACAUAUACACAAAGAGGACACUGAGACACACUGUUACUCACAGAGGACAAGGACACACAAUUACACACAGAGGAUACUAAUACACACACAUAUGCACAGAAAAUGCUGACACUCAGAAGACACUGUCACACACAUUUACACACAGAGGACACUGACACACACAGACAUUUACACACAGGGGACACUUGCACACCCACAUACAGACAGAGGAUACCUGGCACACACAUUUACACACAGAGGACACUGACACACACAGACAUUUACACUGACAUGCACACAUAUUUAUACACAAAGGACACUGACACACAGAUAUACACAGAGGACACUGACAGGCAAACACAUUUACACACACACUCACUGACAGACACAUUCACUGAUUUGACACACACUGAGAGACACACUUACUGAUUUUUGUCAUACUUACCGAUCUUCGAUUCCCUCAAUGUUAUUUCCGGGUUUCUCUAAUCGACCGCUCUGACACAAGACACAGCUGCGUUAUAGGGAAGCUGCUGUAACUUUGAAAUCGCUCAUUUAAUUUGUAGCACUGUGAUACAAAGUUUCCAUCUGAACUCCCUCCUGUGAAUGAAGUCUACCGAACCUCCGAAAAUCCUUACUUUAUGCUGCUGAUCUCUCUCAUCCCUGAAAAUGAAACGCUCCUUGAAUAAUCUUUUGCCUGCUAUUUCAAAAUAGGUUCCCUUUAAUUAUUCUGCAUUCUCUGCUAGCUGUAAUUGUUUGCUGACUUCUACUAACCAUAUGAACUAACAACAUACUAUUGCACUUAAG